CAGCGCCACGAGUGGGGGUCACGAUUAUUGGGCCUAAAGCGUCCGUAGCCGGUUCAGCAAAUCCUUUGUGAAAUCGUUGGGCUCAACCCAACGGCGUGCAGGGGACACUACUGAACUAGGGACCGGGAGGGGUUGGAGGUAUUUCUGAGGGAGCGGUAAAAUGCUAUAAUCUCAGGAGGACCACCUGUGGCGAAGGCGUCCAACCAGAACGGAUCCGACGGUGAGGGACGAAAGCUGGGGGAGCGAUCCGGAUUAGAGACCCGAGUAGUC
RNAcentral lists this ribosomal RNA (270 nucleotides) under uncultured archaeon. RNAcentral's name for it is "partial 16S ribosomal RNA". It matches the Rfam family "Archaeal small subunit ribosomal RNA", at positions 477 to 746 of the family's 1478-position model. The record is from RNAcentral.